GUAUACUAGGAACCCAAAAUAUCAAAGAACACACAACUAAGAUUUCUCAGCAUUAAAAGCUAAAGCAAUUUCAGAAAGACUACAGGCAACAUUUUCUUCUUCUGAUAAUCGAGUACUUAAGGCCUGUUAGAAACAGGGCAAGGACUGUUUUCUUCAGAGAGGAGGAAAUUAGAAAGAUGGCUGCUAAGUUUCGCAACAGGGGAACUCUUCCCUUUUUUUCAAAGAGAUUGUGCUAAGGGAGUCGACGCUGGGUUGGGGAGGGUCUGAUUCGGUUGUUGAUUUGUGAAGAAGAAGAUGAACGGGAGGGUCUGUUUUCCAAAAGCUGCGCUAGAGUAUUCUCCUCAGAUUUG
RNAcentral lists this long non-coding RNA (350 nucleotides) under Nicotiana benthamiana. RNAcentral describes it as "long non-coding RNA (NBEN_LNC024370)". The record is from RNAcentral. Lineage: Eukaryota; Viridiplantae; Streptophyta; Magnoliopsida; Solanales; Solanaceae.